UUUCCGUAGGUGAACCUGCGGAAGGAUCAUUAUUGGAUUUUGAAACUUCAGGCUGCUGCUGGCUCUCCUCGGAGGGCAUGUGCACGCUUGUUGUCCAUUAUUUCUCCCACUGUGCACAAAUUGUAGACCUUUCAGUAGGCCUAUGUUGUUUUUCACAAUCUCUGAAUGUAAUAGAAUGGUUUUGAAUCUUGGGAAAUACAAUACAACUUUCAGCAACGGAUCUCUUGGCUCUCGCAUCGAUGAAGAAGCAGC
Molecule: unclassified non-coding RNA, 252 nt
Filed under: plant metagenome
Description: partial contains small subunit ribosomal RNA, internal transcribed spacer 1, and 5.8S ribosomal RNA
Rfam family: 5.8S ribosomal RNA (bases 205-252)
Source: RNAcentral